AUUGAACGCUGGCGGCAUGCCUUACACAUGCAAGUCGAACGGCAGCACGGGAGCAAUCCUGGUGGCGAGUGGCGAACGGGUGAGUAAUAUAUCGGAACGUGCCCAGUCGUGGGGGAUAACGUAGCGAAAGCUACGCUAAUACCGCAUACGAUCUAUGGAUGAAAGCGGGGGGAUCGCAAGACCUCGCGCGAUUGGAGCGGCCGAUAUCAGAUUAGGUAGUUGGUGAGGUAAAGGCUCACCAAGCCGACGAUCUGUAGCUGGUCUGAGAGGACGACCAGCCACACUGGGACUGAGACGCGGCCCAGACUCCUACGGGAGGCAGCAGUGGGGAAUUUUUGGACAAUGGGCGCAAGCCUGAUCCAGCAAUGCCGCGUGCAGGAUGAAGGCCU
RNAcentral lists this ribosomal RNA (389 nucleotides) under uncultured bacterium. RNAcentral describes it as "bacterial SSU rRNA". It matches the Rfam family "Bacterial small subunit ribosomal RNA", at positions 30 to 417 of the family's 1533-position model. The record is from RNAcentral.